AAAUUGAAGAGUUUGAUCAUGGCUCAGAUUGAACGCUGGCGGCAGGCCUAACACAUGCAAGUCGAACGGUAACAGGAAGCAGCUUGCUGCUUUGCUGACGAGUGGCGGACGGGUGAGUAAUGUCUGGGAAACUGCCUGAUGGAGGGGGAUAACUACUGGAAACGGUGGCUAAUACCGCAUAACGUCGCAAGACCAAAGAGGGGGACCUUCGGGCCUCUUGCCAUCAGAUGUGCCCAGAUGGGAUUAGCUUGUUGGUGAGGUAACGGCUCACCAAGGCGACGAUCCCUAGCUGGUCUGAGAGGAUGACCAGCCACACUGGAACUGAGACACGGUCCAGACUCCUACGG
RNAcentral lists this ribosomal RNA (347 nucleotides) under Salmonella enterica. RNAcentral's name for it is "bacterial SSU rRNA". It matches the Rfam family "Bacterial small subunit ribosomal RNA", at positions 1 to 344 of the family's 1533-position model. Lineage: Bacteria; Pseudomonadati; Pseudomonadota; Gammaproteobacteria; Enterobacterales; Enterobacteriaceae. RNAcentral also lists the same sequence under 3 other names. The record is from RNAcentral.